Molecule: transfer RNA, 90 nt
Filed under: Elusimicrobiota bacterium
Lineage: Bacteria; Pseudomonadati; Elusimicrobiota
Description: Elusimicrobia bacterium (anaerobic digester metagenome) tRNA-Ser
Rfam family: tRNA
About the family: Transfer RNA (tRNA) molecules are approximately 80 nucleotides in length. Their secondary structure includes four short double-helical elements and three loops (D, anti-codon, and T loops). Further hydrogen bonds mediate the characteristic L-shaped molecular structure. tRNAs have two regions of fundamental functional importance: the anti-codon, which is responsible for specific mRNA codon recognition, and the 3' end, to which the tRNAs corresponding amino acid is attached (by aminoacyl-tRNA synthetases). tRNAs cope with the degeneracy of the genetic code in two manners: having more than one tRNA (with a specific anti-codon) for a particular amino acid; and 'wobble' base-pairing, i.e. permitting non-standard base-pairing at the 3rd anti-codon position.
Source: RNAcentral
GGAGGGGUGGCCGAGUGGUUGAAGGCGGCGGUCUCGAAAACCGUUGUGUCAUUUAUGACACCGGAGGUUCGAAUCCUCUCCCCUCCGCCA